Molecule: ribosomal RNA, 679 nt
Filed under: Klebsiella sp. C2a
Lineage: Bacteria; Pseudomonadati; Pseudomonadota; Gammaproteobacteria; Enterobacterales; Enterobacteriaceae
Description: bacterial SSU rRNA
Rfam family: Bacterial small subunit ribosomal RNA
Source: RNAcentral
ACAGAGAGCUUGCUCUCGGGUGACGAGCGGCGGACGGGUGAGUAAUGUCUGGGAAACUGCCUGAUGGAGGGGGAUAACUACUGGAAACGGUAGCUAAUACCGCAUAAYGUCGCAAGACCAAAGUGGGGGACCUUCGGGCCUCAUGCCAUCAGAUGUGCCCAGAUGGGAUUAGCUAGUAGGUGGGGUAACGGCUCACCUAGGCGACGAUCCCUAGCUGGUCUGAGAGGAUGACCAGCCACACUGGAACUGAGACACGGUCCAGACUCCUACGGGAGGCAGCAGUGGGGAAUAUUGCACAAUGGGCGCAAGCCUGAUGCAGCCAUGCCGCGUGUGUGAAGAAGGCCUUCGGGUUGUAAAGCACUUUCAGCGGGGAGGAAGGCGWUGAGGUUAAUAACCUYGKCGAUUGACGUUACCCGCAGAAGAAGCACCGGCUAACUCCGUGCCAGCAGCCGCGGUAAUACGGAGGGUGCAAGCGUUAAUCGGAAUUACUGGGCGUAAAGCGCACGCAGGCGGUCUGUCAAGUCGGAUGUGAAAUCCCCGGGCUCAACCUGGGAACUGCAUUCGAAACUGGCAGGCUAGAGUCUUGUAGAGGGGGGUAGAAUUCCAGGUGUAGCGGUGAAAUGCGUAGAGAUCUGGAGGAAUACCGGUGGCGAAGGCGGCCCCCUGGACAAAGACUGAC